UCAGAGUAAAUUUGGCUGAUACUGAUUGGGAAAGAUUAGAAGAUGUGUCUGACCCACUGGAAACCACACAAGAUAGUGAGCAGAGUGCUAAACGCAAGGCUUCCUUUCCAGUCGAAGAUUCUCCACCCCCGAAGAAGCACCGUCCUGAGGAGGAUGAGUGCUAAGAGGUUGCGUCCACAUCCUAAUGGUAUUGAACCAGUUUGCCUCAGUGCUAUGAAAUGUUGCCGCAGACAUUCGUGAAGAAUCUACUGAAUAUUGUUGCGAUCAUCUCUUACAUGCUACAACAGUUUACGAGUUGUGUGAAACCUACGGGUUACUUACACUUUUGUCGAUGAAGUGAUACUAAUUGCUAUCUUGGUCGUUUGUAAAAGCUCCAGCAGAAAUGUUACCAAAUGUAACUACAGUAACCUCUUAUAAAGCUCCUCGAUACUUUAAGUCCUAAACUUACGAACACAUUGAGAAUCUUCUGUAUUGUGUAUAUCGUUAUGUAUAUCUAUAUUGUGUACGUUGUAAUUACAUGUAUAUCAUUAUACACAAUUCAGGAGGUCCCCCAAUGUGUUCGUAAGUCAAGGACUUACUGUAUAGAGCAUUUUUUGCGUAAAUGAAAUUGGCUGAACUUCCAGUUGUAUUUACAAAAAAAAUUGCACUAUGGAAUUCUCUUUAUGAAUCUUUACAAGUUGUAUAUACUGGCUAUGCAGUGGUAUAUGGUACCCCUGUGUAAGCCAGUGGUAUGUGGUACCCUGUGUAAACCAGUGGUAUGUGGUACCCCUGUGUGAGCCAGAGGUUAGUGGUACCCUGUGUAAACCAGUGGUAUGUGGUACCGUGUGUUAGCCAGUGGUACAUUAUGUGCAAAGUCUAUGUAUAUUUGAAGCUCUGCCGAAGUGGUAAUGUACUGAAUACGCAAACUCAAUACUUGAUAUGUGAUGUUUCUUCGUGAAUCACUUAAUAGAAGUCGCGUUUGUAAUGCCGCCCCAGUAAGUGCUCUUACUGACCAGAUUCAAUUCGAGAUUGAUUUACAAUAAUUAUUAUUAUAGUCAAAAAGAAGUGCUAAUGAUUUACAGUGAUUAUAUACGUUGGUUGGAACACUUACGACAAUGAGUCAUACCACAAAAUUAUCAUUGCAGCUAAUUGUGUGCUGGAUAUUCGUUGUUUUUCUUAUGCCAAAUCAUACCAUGAAAUUAUUACUAUUAAAGUGAAUCAUACUGGGAAAUCAUACAUCCUUACACAUGAAUCAUACUUGGAAAGAAUUUAUUCUAAUUGCAUUAAACCACUGAUAACAUGAUUGUUCAUUUUACACCGAGACAUGAUUGUUCAUUUUAUACCGAGUCAUGAUUGGUGUUAUUUUUAAUCAAGCUGCAUUUUAUUUUAUAAACUUAAAUCUGUGGUGUUUGUUAAGGGUAAUGUUUAAGACGUCCUUGUCCAUGGUAAUGUUUAAGGUGCUUAGGUUUAUUUAAAGGCAUUAAAAGAAAGAAGAUAGAGGAUGAAGAGUUGGUUUCAUCUUUGCCUUCUGGGAAAUAUUUACGUCUCUCUCGCCGUGAUGUAAGCUGCACUCUGAUUGGAGAGAGAGGGGAAUGUUCCAGUGGCACCUUUUAAAGUGCCCUAAAGCUCUUAAGAAAACACUCAUUGUAACAAGGAUCAAGCCUCCAUGUCUCAGAAAAAAAUAAUUAUAAUAUAGGAAAUAGUCUUAAUAUAAAAAACAAUAGAAAAAUAGAAAAAUCUCUUAUACAAGGCUUCUCUAUGAAAGCAAAAGACUCGGCAGACAAUGCAACAUCCCCCCAAUGAAAAGCGGGGGCACCACUAGCACGAUAAGAGACAACACAGUGCCAGGGGCCCAAGACUGUUCAACUGCCUCCCAGCAUACAUAAGGGGGAUUACCAAUAGACCCCUGGCUGUCUUCAAGCAGGCACUAGACAAGCACCUAAAGUCGGAACCUGACCAGCCAGGCUGUGGCUUGUACGUUGGAUUGCGUGCAGCCAGCAGUAACAGCUUGGGUGAUCAGGCCCUGAUCCACUAUGAGGCCUGGUCGCAGACUGGGCCGCAGGGGCGUUGACCCCCGGAACUCUCUCCAGGCAAACUCCAGGUAUGGAGAAUUGGAUAUUCGAUUUAGUAAUUUGUAAAAAGCUUGGUUAAAUUUUGUGCCAGCAGUCGUGGCUAGACUUAAAAGCUAAGUAAAAAUGUUUUAGUUUGGGUUAUUUAAAAUUUAGGGGUUAAUCAGAAUUUAUAAUAAUAGGAGUGUGUGUAAAGGUAGAAAGUUGAAAGUGAACAUAGAAAAGAGUAAGGUGAUGAGGGUAUCAAAUGAUUUAAAGAAAAAUUGGAUAUCAAAUUGGAGGAGGAGGAGUAUGGAAGAAGUGAAAGUUUUCAGAUAUUUGGGAGUUGACGUGUCAGCAGAUGGGUUUAUGAAGGAUGAGGUUAACCAUAGAAUUGAUGAAGGAAAAAAGGUGAGUGGUGCAUUGACGUACAUGUGGAGACAAAAAACGUUAUCCAUGAAGACAAAGAAGUAUAGAGUAUAGUGGUGCCAACACACUUAUAUGGGUGUGAAGCUUGGGUUAUAAAUGUUGCAGCGAGGAGGUGGCUGGAGGCAGUGGAGAUGUCCUGUCUAAGAGCAAUGUGUGGUGUAAAAUAUUAUUCAGAGAAAUCGGAGUGUGGAAAUUGG
This is a non-coding RNA of Cherax quadricarinatus, 2653 nucleotides long. NCBI's taxonomy places the organism in Eukaryota, Metazoa, Arthropoda, Malacostraca, Decapoda, Parastacidae. The record is from RefSeq and is a predicted model, not a curated record.